GAUGAACGCUGGCGGCGUGCUUAACACAUGCAAGUCGAACGGAAAGGCCCAAGCUUGCUUGGGUACUCGAGUGGCGAACGGGUGAGUAACACGUGGGUGAUCUGCCCUGCACUUCGGGAUAAGCCUGGGAAACUGGGUCUAAUACCGGAUAGGACGAUGGUUUGGAUGCCAUUGUGGAAAGUUUUUUCGGUGUGGGAUGAGCUCGCGGCCUAUCAGCUUGUUGGUGGGGUAAUGGCCUACCAAGGCGUCGACGGGUAGCCGGCCUGAGAGGGUGUACGGCCACAUUGGGACUGAGAGACGGGCCAGACUCCUACGGGAGGCAGCAGGGGGGAAUAUUGCACAAUGGGCGCAAGCCUGAUGCAGCGACGCCGCGUGGGGGAUGACGGCCUUCGGGUUGUAAACUCCUGUCGCUAGGGACGAAGCGUUUUUGUGACGGUACCUGGAGAAGAAGCACCGGCUAACUACGUG
Molecule: ribosomal RNA, 468 nt
Filed under: uncultured bacterium
Lineage: Bacteria
Description: partial 16S ribosomal RNA
Rfam family: Bacterial small subunit ribosomal RNA
Source: RNAcentral